This 433-nucleotide ribosomal RNA is filed under the name uncultured bacterium. RNAcentral's name for it is "partial 16S ribosomal RNA". It matches the Rfam family "Bacterial small subunit ribosomal RNA", at positions 29 to 507 of the family's 1533-position model. The record is from RNAcentral.
AACGAACGCUGGCGGCAUGCCUAACACAUGCAAGUCGAACGAGACCUUCGGGUCUUGUGGCGCACGGGUGCGUAACGCGUGGGAACCUGCCCUUAGGUUCGGAAUAACUCCCCGAAAGGGGUGCUAAUACCGGAUAAUGUCUUCGGACCAAAGAUUUAUCGCCUUUGGAUGGGCCCGCGUUGGAUUAGCUAGUUGGUAGGGUAAAAGCCUACCAAGGCGACGAUCCAUAGCUGGUCUGAGAGGAUGAUCAGCCACACUUGGACUGAGACACGGCCCAGACUCCUACGGGAGGCAGCAGUGGGGAAUAUUGGACAAUGGGCGAAAGCCUGAUCCAGCAAUGCCGCGUGAGUGAUGAAGGCCUUAGGGUUGUAAAGCUCUUUUACCCGGGAUGAUAAUGACAGUACCGGGAGAAUAAGCUCCGGCUAACUCCGUG